CAGGACGAACGCUGGCGGCGUGCUUAACACAUGCAAGUCGAACGAGGUUAGAGACUCGGUUUUAACCGAGUGGCGGACGGGUGAGUAACGCGUGAGCAAUCUGUCCCAGACAGGGGGAUAACAACUGGAAACAGUUGCUAAUACCGCAUAAGACCACGAAGUCGCAUGGCUUUGAGGUAAAAGGAGCAAUCCGGUUUGGGGUGAGUUCGCGUCUGAUUAGAUAGUUGGCGAGGUAACGGCUCACCAAGUCGACGAUCAGUAGCCGACCUGAGAGGGUGACCGGCCACAUUGGGACUGAGACACGGCCCAGACUCCUACGGGAGGCAGCAGUGGGGAAUAUUGGGCAAGUUACGGGGGGAAACCCUGACCCAGCAACGCCGCGUGAGGGAAGAAGGUUUUCGGAUUGUAAACCUCUGUCCUUGGGGACGAACAAGAUGACGGUACCCGAGGAGGAAGCCCCGGCUAACUACGUGCCAGCCGCUGC
This 484-nucleotide ribosomal RNA is filed under the name uncultured bacterium. RNAcentral's name for it is "bacterial SSU rRNA". It matches the Rfam family "Bacterial small subunit ribosomal RNA", at positions 25 to 518 of the family's 1533-position model. The record is from RNAcentral.